Molecule: ribosomal RNA, 253 nt
Filed under: uncultured bacterium
Lineage: Bacteria
Description: partial 16S ribosomal RNA
Rfam family: Bacterial small subunit ribosomal RNA
Source: RNAcentral
AACGUAGGAGGCAAGCGUUAUCCGGAGUUACUGGGCGUAAAGCGCGUGUAGGUGGAUUGGUAAGUUACUUAUAAAAGCCCCCGGCUCAACUGGGGAGGGUCACUCGAUACUGAUCGACUCGAAGGCAGGAGAGGGAAGUGGAAUUCCCGGUGUAGUGGUGAAAUGCGUAGAUAUCGGGAGGAACACCAGUGGCGAAGGCGACUUCCUGGCCUGUUCUUGACGCUGAGGCGCGAAAGCUAGGGGAGCAAACGGG